CCUACGGGAGGCAGCAGUGAGGAAUAUUGGUCAGUGGCCGAGAGGCUGAACCAGCCAAGUCGCGUGAGGGAAGACGGCCCUACGGGUUGUAAACCUCUUUUGUCGGGGAGCAAAGCGCGUCACGUGUGCCUCAUUGCGAGUACCCGACGAACAAGCAUCGGCUAACUCCGUGCCAGCAGCCGCGGUAAUACGGAGGAUGCGAGCGUUAUCCGGAUUUAUUGGGUUUAAAGGGUGCGCAGGCGGAGGUGCAAGUCAGCGGUCAAAUUGCGGGGCUCAACCCCGUACUGCCGUUGAAACUGCCGCCCUUGAGUGCGCGAGAAGUAGGCGGAAUGCGUGGUGUAGCGGUGAAAGGCAUAGAUAUCACGCAGAACUCCGAUUGCGAAGGCAGCAUACCGGCGCGCAACUGACGCUCAUGCACGAAAGCGUGGGUAUCGAACAGGAUUAGAUACCCGGGUAGUC
Molecule: ribosomal RNA, 459 nt
Filed under: uncultured bacterium
Lineage: Bacteria
Description: partial 16S ribosomal RNA
Rfam family: Bacterial small subunit ribosomal RNA
Source: RNAcentral